Molecule: long non-coding RNA, 1189 nt
Organism: Pelobates fuscus (common spadefoot toad)
Lineage: Eukaryota; Metazoa; Chordata; Amphibia; Anura; Pelobatidae
Exons: 2
Source: RefSeq, a predicted model, not a curated record
GUCAUUCUUCUUUAAGCUUCAUUAGUGGCGUAUGCCAUUCUAUGCUAAAAAGAAAAAAAAAGGAAAACAAAGCGAUUAAAUAAUGCAAACAAGUUGUAACAAAACAAUCUCAAGUUCAUAAAAAAGAAGAAGAAAAAAGAAAAGAAUAGUGCAGAUUGUAAUCAAACAUAAACAGAGUAUCUAUAAAGUCAGGUCACUCACAUAUAGCGGAUCCUAUAUAUAUUAACUCCCUAAGUAGAACUUGUAUGCUCUUAGGGCAGCAUCACAUCACUCCUUCAAGUUGAUGUUCCCUCCAGCAAAGACAAAAAAUAAGAGAGGCAUCCAAUGUGUUGCAUAUAUGCUUAAAAUAUAAUUAAAACAUGGAAUAAGUAUUAAGCUCACCUUAUACAUAGCCUUUUAUCCUGACUCUGAGGGUAACAGGUGUAGUUCCAAUAUUGAGGGGAUGGCACCUCCCCAAUGAAGAUUCCCAAGGCUUUAGAGGACUUUUAAAAGUACUACUAAAUUUAAUUUACAAAAAAAAGAUAAACCAUAAAAUAAGUAAAUACUAUACAAACUUGUACAAAAAAAAAUAAGUUCACAAUCAGCCAAAAUGUGUUUCCCUCCUUUCUGAGCUUCUUCAGUCAGCUGUCUAUACACAUUUUGGCUGAUUUAGGACUUCUCUUUUUUAUACAAGUGUGUACAGUAUAGAAUAAUAAGUGGGAUAUUACAGACUCCCACAAGAUAUUGGGAGACCUGAUUGUAAUCCUAAGAGGUUAUGAAUGGGGUUGUUAAGUGGUUAAAUAAACAAUUAUACUACAAAACAUGUCAGAAACUGCUGGCAACAUGAUUGCAAAAAGUGUUAUGAGGAGAAAUUCCCCAUGUAAAAUAACCUGGGGCACAUUAUUUGGGGUGAUUUUAAAUGAUAGGUGGUUAAGUCACCUAUGAAUAAAAUUGAGUCUCAUUGUACACAAAUAAAGAUGGUGUGUAGGGGGUGCCUCUGAGUGAAAAAUGCAGGAAAAUAUUGACAAAAUCUUUAGCAGAAGACGGUGGUAAAAAUGCGUCAGUAAAUUUGUCCAAAUACCACAUGCAGACAAUCGGGAGUUGUCCAACGUUUGAAAAUGUAUACUGUGUACACCUCUAAAAUAUAUACUUGUGUGGUUUGGUUUUCAUUUUAUGAACGCUAAUAAAAUUGCAAGUGUUUAAAACAAAA